This 470-nucleotide ribosomal RNA is filed under the name uncultured soil bacterium. RNAcentral describes it as "bacterial SSU rRNA". It matches the Rfam family "Bacterial small subunit ribosomal RNA", at positions 8 to 524 of the family's 1533-position model. The record is from RNAcentral.
AGAGUUUGAUCCUGGCUCAGAACGAACGCUGGCGGCAUGCCUAACACAUGCAAGUCGAACGAGACCUUCGGGUCUAGUGGCGCACGGGUGCGUAACGCGUGGGAAUCUGCCCUUGGGUCCGGAAUAACAGUUAGAAAUGACUGCUAAUACCGGAUGAUGACUUCGGUCCAAAGAUUUAUCGCCCAGGGAUGAGCCCGCGUCGGAUUAGCUAGUUGGUGGGGUAAAAGCUCACCAAGGCGACGAUCCGUAGCUGGUCUGAGAGGAUGAUCAGCCACACUGGGACUGAGACACGGCCCAGACUCCUACGGGAGGCAGCAGUGGGGAAUAUUGGACAAUGGGCGAAAGCCUGAUCCAGCAAUGCCGCGUGAGUGAUGAAGGCCUUAGGGUUGUAAAGCUCUUUUACCCGGGAUGAUAAUGACAGUACCGGGAGAAUAAGCCCCGGCUAACUCCGUGCCAGCAGCCGCGGUAAU